UACGGAAGGCAGCAGUGGGGAAUAUUGCACAAUGGGCGAAAGCCUGAUGCAGCUAUGCCGCGUGUAUGAAGAAGGCCUUAGGGUUGUAAAGUACUUUCAUCGGGGAGGAAAAAACAAAACUAAUAAUUUUAUUUCUUGACGUUACCCGAAAAAGAAGCACCGGCUAACUCCGUGCCAGCAGCCGCGGUAAUACGGAGGGUGCUAGCGUUAAUCAGAAUUACUGGGCGUAAAGAGCACGUAGGUGGUUUUUUUAAAGUCAGAUGUGAAAUCCCUGGGCUUAACCUAGGAACUGCAUUUUGAAACUGAAAUACUAGAGUAUCGUAGAGGGAGGUAGAAUUCUAGGUGUAGCGGUGAAAUGCGUAGAUAUCUGGAGGAAUACCGUGUGGCGAAAGCGGCCUCCUAAACGAAUACUGACACUGAGGUGCGAAAGCGUGGGGAGCGAAACAGGGAUUAGAUACCCGU
This 462-nucleotide ribosomal RNA is filed under the name uncultured bacterium. RNAcentral describes it as "bacterial SSU rRNA". It matches the Rfam family "Bacterial small subunit ribosomal RNA", at positions 340 to 789 of the family's 1533-position model. The record is from RNAcentral.